Microplitis mediator is the source of this 795-nucleotide long non-coding RNA. RefSeq lists it as uncharacterized. The record is from RefSeq and is a predicted model, not a curated record. Lineage: Eukaryota; Metazoa; Arthropoda; Insecta; Hymenoptera; Braconidae. The transcript has 2 exons.
UCGCAUAGAAAUCUAUUUAAGAGAGUUGUAUGUUGGUAGAGUACUAAAAGUAGAGAAGUAAAAGGCACGCUUGUAACUGGGUACGGUAUGAAUACCCGCCGCUGAUUGUACGUUGUUCAGAUGUCCCUUUAGGGCUAUCUAAUAGCACCCUGUUCGAACAAAAAAAGUUAUUAAACGAACAUUUAAGAACAAAUGACGAUCAAACGAUUUGUCGAUAUCAAAUUUAAAAAAAAUUAACUUUUGGUGCCAGGUUCAUGGAGUUGAGCGCACUAAUUUUUCUGUAUUUGCACUCAUUGACAAAAGAUGGAAGCACAGUUGUGAAACACCAGAGAAAAUUUUAGGACUCGAUGGGUUAUUUUCUUUUGUACCAUCUAACCAAUAUUGUCUUACACUGUAUAUUUAACGAUUUUGUCUACGAAUACUGUUGACGAUUAUCACUGAAAUUAGUCUGUUUUAAUUGUAUUUUUUUUCUAAAUUUUAUACAAUCUCAUAAAAAUCUAUCAGAAUGUCCGGACGAGAAGGUGGCAAAAAAAAACCACUAAAGGCUCCAAAAAAAGAAAGCAAAGAAAUGGAUGACGACGAUCUUGCAUUCAAGCAAAAACAAAAAGAGCAACAGAAAGCUUUAGCAGAAGCUGCAAAAAAGGCUGGCCAAAAAGGGCCUUUGGUCACUGGAGGAAUAAAAAAAUCCGGCAAGAAAUAACAAUAAUUUUUUAAAUAUUUAUUUAAUAAAAAUUAAAUCGAAACUAUAGAUUAUACUUAAUUAUUGAGUUAAUAAAAUUUAAUAUUAAACGUUAA